CGGCAGUGAAAUGUAAAUUAGAAUGUCCAGUCGUGGACAUGGCUCGAAUUUACAGGAGCUGCUGACAUUUCUCAGCGGAGGUGAUGAUGGAGAACACAAAUAUAAAAAAAAAGCAUCAAGAAGAAAUGUCUCUUCGUGCAACUUGGAAAUAUUGAUCCAUGUCAUGGCUAAUCAAGCUAUUAAGCCAAUAUGAAUCAAGGGUAGCUUGAAGCAUCCACCUCAAAGAGCUCUUGGUCAUCUAGAGACACAAAGGACUGCACAUGCUGGAAUCUAGAUGAAAAACAUGAUGAUGCUGGAAGAACUCAGCAGGCCAGGCAGCAUCCGUGGAGAAAAGCAGACGAUCGAUGGUUCAGGUUCCUCUGAAGCACCUUGGGACAUUUUGCUAUGUUGAAAGGAAAAACAAGUUGUUGCUGUUAUUGUCGAUAGCUCACCCGAAAAAUCAAGGUUCCUACCCUCUUACAUCAAGGAUUCUUUCUUUAAUUACAAGUGCUCAUUUUGAGCAGAAAUAAUCAUCAUGCUUGUAGAGCUGCUGCCUCACAGAUCCAGUGACUUGGGUUCAAUCCUGACCUUUCGUGCUGUCAGUGUGGAGUUUGCACAUUCUCCCUGGAACUACAUGAGUUUCCUUUGGUUGAUCUGUUUCUUUCCGCAUUGCAAAGAUGUUCAGAUUGGUAGGUAACUUGCCAAUCGUGUGAAGGUGAGUGGUAGAAUCUGUGGGGGGUUGGUGGGAAUGUAGGAAG
Molecule: long non-coding RNA, 737 nt
Organism: Pristis pectinata (smalltooth sawfish)
Lineage: Eukaryota; Metazoa; Chordata; Chondrichthyes; Rhinopristiformes; Pristidae
Exons: 4
Source: RefSeq, a predicted model, not a curated record